Long non-coding RNA from Ficedula albicollis (Collared flycatcher), 224 nucleotides. RefSeq lists it as uncharacterized. The record is from RefSeq and is a predicted model, not a curated record. The transcript is spliced from 3 exons. NCBI's taxonomy places the organism in Eukaryota, Metazoa, Chordata, Aves, Passeriformes, Muscicapidae.
GAAAGUCCAAGAAUCUUCAAGUUAAUUGGAUGUCCAGCUGCAUCUACAGCCACGAACAAAGUCAUGCAUCACCCACUGAGCAUUCAUUGAGCUGCUGCCUCAGAGAUUCUGGACACUUCAGUGGGCUACAGCAUCAAAUGGGAGAAUAGCCCCUCUCUAAAAGGGAAGCCAAUGAAGCAAGAAUGCUAAAAUGACACCAAAAGCAUGCUCAGACUAUGUGAGGA